This 76-nucleotide transfer RNA is filed under the name Legionella londiniensis. RNAcentral's name for it is "tRNA-Thr(tgt)". It matches the Rfam family "tRNA". From Rfam's summary of the family: Transfer RNA (tRNA) molecules are approximately 80 nucleotides in length. Their secondary structure includes four short double-helical elements and three loops (D, anti-codon, and T loops). RNAcentral also lists the same sequence under 2 other names. Lineage: Bacteria; Pseudomonadati; Pseudomonadota; Gammaproteobacteria; Legionellales; Legionellaceae. The record is from RNAcentral.
GCUGGCAUAGCUCAGCAGGUAGAGCAACUGAUUUGUAAUCAGUAGGUCCCGGGUUCGAUUCCUGGUGCCAGCACCA